AUGGAAGACUUGAAGGAGGCAGAUUUGUGUGCUGCACUUGUUGUAAAGGGAGAAGAGCACCUGACUGUUGAAAUUCCAGCAAAGGUACGUGGUUUAUUGGCAGAAUUUCAGAACAUACUUGGGGAGCCACAUGGCUUGCCACCGAUGAGAGGAAUUCAACAUAGAAUUGACUUAAUUCCGGGAGCAAGUCUUCCUAAUCUUCCACACUAUCGAAUGAGCCCAAAGGAGCAUGAUAUAUUGAAGGAGAAAAUGGAGGAAUUGUUGCAAAAGGGGCACAUUCGAGAAAGUAUUAGCCCAUGUGCUGUACCAGCCCUACUCGCGCCAAAGAAAGAUGGAUCUUGGCGCAUGUGUACGGACAGUAGAGCCGUUAACAAGAUCAGCGUAAGGUAUAGGUUCCCUAUUCCCCGUCUGGAUGAUAUGUUGGAUCAGCUUAGUGGAGCAAGAGUGUUCACAAAGCUAGAUUUAAGAAGUGGAUAUCAUCAAAUCCGUAUAAGACCUGGGGAUGAAUGGAAGACCGCCUUCAAGACAAGGGAAGGGUUGUUUGAAUGGCUAGUCAUGCCAUUUGGACUCUCAAAUGCACCAAGUACCUUUAUGCACUUAAUGAAUCAAGUCCUUAGACCCUUCUUAUCCCACUUUGUUGUGGUCUAUUUCGAUGACAUCUUGAUCUAUAGCAAGGAUGAGGAUGAACACUUUGAUCACAUUCGAAAGGUGCUAGAAGUACUAAGGGAAAAUGAGCUCUACGUCAACUUGAAGAAAUGUGUUUUCCUGCAAACACAACUUCUUUUCCUAGGAUUCGUCAUAACAUGUGACGGCAUUCGUGUUGAUGAUUCUAAGGUUGAAGCAAUCCGAGAAUGGCCAACUCCUAAGACCAUUUCUGAGGUAAGAAGCUUUCAUGGCCUUGCAACUUUCUAUAGGCGAUUUGUAAAGAAUUUCAGCACUAUCAUGGCACCAAUUACCGAGUGUUUGAAGAAAGGAAAGUUCCAAUGGGCAGAAGCAGCUGAAGCUAGCUUCAAUGAGAUUAAACAAAAGCUAUCACAAGCUCCUGUCUUGGUACUACCUGAUUUCAACAAGACUUUUGAGUUGGAGUGUGAUGCAAGUGGAGUAGGCAUUGGAGCUAUCCUAUCUCAAGAAAGGAAGCCCAUUGCUUUCUUUAGUGAGAAGUUAAGUGAAGCUAGACAGAAAUGGAGUACCUAUCAGCAAGAAUUAUACGCCGUUUUCAGAGCGUUGAAAACUUGGGAAGUCUAUUUGCUGCCUAAAGAGUUCAUUGUUUAUAGCGACCAUCAAUCCUUGAAGCAUUUUAGAAAUCAAAAGCAUGUUGACCGCAUGCUAGCAAGAUGGGAAGCAUAUCUUGAGAGGUUUAACUAUCUCAUCGUGCAUAAAUCUGGAAUAACUAACAGAGUGGCCGAUGCUUUGAGUCGUCGUGCAUGCCUCUUGACUUCUUUUGAAGCUGAACUUCCGGGCAUGGGUCAAAUAAAGGAGUUGUAUGAGGGUGACGAAGACUUUGGCCAUGUUUGGGUAAAGCACGCAAGGGGCCAACCAUUAGGUGAUGACUAUUUGAUGCAAGAUGGAUAUCUCUUCAAAAAUGAUCGUUUGUGCAUUCCAAGAAGUUCUCUACGUGACAAGCUGGUUAGAGAGCUCCAUUCAAGUGAUCUUAGUGGCCAUGUUGGACGGGACAAGACUAUCGCUAACCUGGAAGCUCGCUACUUUUGGCCACAACUAAAGAGAGAUGCUGGAAAGUUCGUUCAACGGUGCCCCGUAUGUCAGACCUGCAAAGGCCAAGUCCAGAACACAGGGUUAUACAUGCCUUUGCCUGUUCCUGUUGCUCCAUGGGAGGACAUUUCUAUGGACUUCGUCUUGGGCUUGCCAAGAACAAGACGAGGAAGUGAUGCUGUAUUUGUGGUCGUGGAUAGAUUCUCUAAGAUGGCUCAUUUCAUCCCAUGCCGCAAGACAACGGAUGCUCAUCAUGUGGCAAACCUAUUCUUUCGAGAAGUGGUCAGACUUCAUGGAGUUCCAAGGUCCAUUGUCUCAGACCGUGAUAGCAAGUUUCUUGCUGCAUUUUGGCUCACUUUGUGGAAGCAAUUCAACACUGAAUUGAAAUUUUCUAGCACUGCUCAUCCACAAACAGAUGGACAAACGGAAGUGGUGAACAAGUUUUUGGGUAAUCUGAUCCGUUGCAUUUGUGGAGAAAGAAAGGGGCAAUGGGAUUUGGCUUUAUCUCUUGCAGAAUUCUCCUACAAUAACUCCAAGCAUAGAUCCACAGGAAGGAGCCCUUUUUCCAUUGUCUACACUAAAGUUCCAACACCUGUGGUGGACCUGGUGAAGCUGCCAUCAAGGGGAAACUCAAAAUCAGCAUUGUCCUUUGCUGAUAAUUACACCGAGUUAUUUGAAGAGAUUCGCGGCGCUUUGGAAGCACAAAAUCAGAAAUAUAAACAACUUGCUGAUUGCAAAAAGAGGCCAAAAACAUUCCAAGUCGGUGAUAAGGUGAUGGUCUACCUCCGAAAAGAGAGGCUGCCUUUAGGUGUUAAAGGGAAACUUAGGCAGCGAAGGUAUGGGCCCUUCUCUAUCAUGAGGAAGAUAAAUGAUAAUGCUUAUGUGAUAGAUCUUCCAAGUGACAUGGGUAUCUCCAACACUUUCAAUGUUGCGGACUUGACUCUCUACCAUCCAGAAGAAGCGCUCUAUGAAGAUAACUCGAGGGCGAGUUCCAAACAACCAGGGGAGAAUGAUGAGGAACACUAG
This 2736-nucleotide ribosomal RNA is filed under the name Triticum aestivum (bread wheat). Its description in RNAcentral is "partial small subunit ribosomal RNA". Lineage: Eukaryota; Viridiplantae; Streptophyta; Magnoliopsida; Poales; Poaceae. The record is from RNAcentral.